UGUCCUACGGGGGGCUGCAGUCGGGAAUUUUGGGCAAUGGGCGAAAGCCUGACCCAGCAACGCCGCGUGAAGGAUGAAGUAUUUCGGUAUGUAAACUUCGAAAGAAUAGGAAGAAUUAAUGACGGUACUAUUUAUAAGGUCCGGCUAACUACGUGCCAGCAGCCGCGGUAAUACGUAGGGACCAAGCGUUGUUCGGAUUUACUGGGCGUAAAGGGCGCGUAGGCGGCAAUUCAAGUCAGCUGUGAAAUCUCUGGGCUUAACCCGGAACGGCCAGCUGAUACUGCUUUGCUAGAGUGCGGAAGGGGCAAUCGGAAUUCUUGGUGUAGCGGUGAAAUGCGUAGAUAUCAAGAGGAACACCUGAGGUGAAGACGGGUUGCUGGGCCGACACUGACGCUGAGGCGCGAAAGCCAGGGGAGCAAACGGGAUUAGAUACCCCAGUAGUCC
RNAcentral lists this ribosomal RNA (444 nucleotides) under uncultured bacterium. RNAcentral's name for it is "bacterial SSU rRNA". It matches the Rfam family "Bacterial small subunit ribosomal RNA", at positions 335 to 796 of the family's 1533-position model. The record is from RNAcentral.